AUGAACGAAGUCUGGGCAACCCCCAAGCUCCACAGAAAAGAAGCACUAUGCCGGAACAGCCAAAAUGUGGCACUGUUAUCAUCAAGAGCAGUCACUUUCAUGCAUUGUUUUUAUGCACCGCUGAUAGCAGCCUUCCCCUUCUCACUGCAGUGCAAUGAGACAGGCACAAGGGAGAAUUAUGUUUGCGACUCCACAAGGAGUCAAACAGCGUGGUGGCUGGGAGAAAACCAAGUGGAUCUAAAGCCACAUCAGGGGUUUUGUCACAGGUUAACCCAGUCUUACUGACUGCUCUGGGAGCAUAGGUCUGUACAGAGGGAGAAGGACUGAAACUGAGCACUUAAUGAGACAAGAAGGCAGCGUCUAGUUAGACAAAGUGAUGAUGACAGAAUUGCUGGACUAUAUGUAUUUUUUUUUGCUGGAAAGCACAAAAUAAAAAAUGACUACUUCAGUAUUAGCUUCCA
RNAcentral lists this long non-coding RNA (461 nucleotides) under Numida meleagris (helmeted guineafowl). RNAcentral's name for it is "lncRNA (ENSNMEG00000018616.1)". The record is from RNAcentral. Lineage: Eukaryota; Metazoa; Chordata; Aves; Galliformes; Numididae.